Molecule: long non-coding RNA, 4570 nt
Organism: Helianthus annuus (common sunflower)
Lineage: Eukaryota; Viridiplantae; Streptophyta; Magnoliopsida; Asterales; Asteraceae
Exons: 8
Source: RefSeq, a predicted model, not a curated record
CUCUCAGUUCGGAUAUAAUAUAAAAACCUAAUUGAGAUCAUAAUCUUAUACCCUAUUGACAUUUCUCUGAAACCCUAGCCACCAUGUUCCUCCUUCUUCAUUACGAUUCAACUCAAUAGCAACCGUGAUCCUCUUUUUUCUUAGUUGUUCUACGAUUCAAACCCUAAAUCGAUUUCCCCAUUCAUCUUUUUCAUAUAUACAAUCAAUGUCGUCGAUCAAUUGAAUGGUUGAAGAAAAUACUAGGUGCCUCUACUUUCAGUUUCUCUCUCAAAACCCUAGAUCAACGAGUGCAAGUUCGUGUUCUUCACUUUCAUAUUCAUCAAUCAAGAACAUAGAAGAAUGAAGGUGUGUUUGUGUGACGGCUGAAUCUGAUACAAUUUUAGGGUUACGCAUGAAGGAGAGGAGGAAGAAAGAUGAACUGUUAAGGGUCGUCUAACACAAAAGAUUUGGGUUUAAGAAUGAUUUUAGAGUUUCGCAUUGUAAUAGAAUUUAAAAAAAUUAUCAUUUGUUAGGUUCAAGAUUAUGUCAGCAUUGUAAUAGAAUUUAAAAAAAAAAAUUCAUCGUCAAGUUUGUUAGGUUCAAGAUUAUGUCGGCUGAUGUAGUUCUGAAUCUUUUUUACCUUUGCAAGAUUAUGAUUGGUCAUUGUUUUAAUUGUUGGGGGAGUUAAAACUUUAAUUGUUGGGGGAGUUAAAACUAAUCGAUUUUGAUAUAGUAAAAGAGGCUCGAGGUGCUGGUAUUGGAGUUAUAAAGAGUUUUAUAGUUAUUGUGAAGAACAACACACUCAAGAUUCAACUUUACUGGGCUGGAAAAGGCUCUACUGGAAUUCCAAUGAGAGGAAGUUAUGGUCCCAUUAUAUCAGCUAUAUCAGUUGACCCGAAAACAUGAAGAGCCAGGUUUUCUUUGAGUUUUGGGGUCAUUAUUACUAUGCCAUUACACCACGUUAUUCAUUUCUAAGUUCUAACACCUGAUCUCCUGCCACUAUAUCAUCAUCUAAUGGUGUGAAGACUGUGUAAAUAUGUUCUUGGUCACUCUGAUCCUAAUAUCCAACAUAAGUUAGAGCUAACUGUUUGCUCAUAGGAAAUGUAUUCAGAAAUAGUGCAACAAGAAAGGGGAUAUAACCUGUGAGAUUUGCAAUCAGGCAUGCAUGGGGCCCGCAAAUUGAUCUCCGGGAUGCUCACUUCUUGGCUUUUGUUUCUGAGAAUCAGUUUCUUGAACCGGAUUUUGAUGAUUACGGUGUAUGAAGUAAUAACAGCAUUGCGUACCUCCGGUUUAUGGCUCUCUUUGCUUUGCUGGUCACAAGAGACCUUCGGAUGUUGCCAGAAGGCUCGUAAGGAGACAAUUGUUAUAGAGGAGGGCUGCGGCGAAAGUUAGGGUUCUGAUGGGUGUGUCUAUGGCGGCUUAGCGGCCGUGGCAUCAACAAUCGGUAGCUUGGUGGUAUGUUUUGGUACUUUAAUUUUGUGUAUGGGUUUUGUUUUGGUGUUGUUUUUGGACUUUAGUUUUGUGGGUGGUUGGUUUAAGCUGAGGGUUGCUGGGUUGAGGAUUAUGGUGGUAUAUGUUUGAUUUUGGGAUUAAUAGUCAGUUUUCCGUUUUUUUUGGUUGAUUAAUUGUUAAACACUAUUCAAAUCCUAUUUGUUGUGCAAGAAUCGGGGUCUACUAUGAUGUUAUUCUAGGUCACAACCUCUUUGAUUACGGUUUGCGAUUUAUCAUUGACAAAUGUGUUCGGAUAAACGAUUUAUAAUUAGUUUUUCGUUUAUUCAAUCUUCUCUGUAAUCAGUUUAAUCUGUUCAUGCUUGUGAUGAUGAAAAUGGGGCGGUAGGGAGCCUUGAAGCGGUGGCAGUUCGUGGUGGUGGGUUAAAGCCGAAGAGGGGGAGAUGGGUGGAGAUUGUGCAGGUGCAUGGUUGCAUACCGAAGGUACAGAACUGCAGACAGAAAUGACAAGAAAGAAAGCCUGAGUCGUGAGUUCGUGACCCUGACUUAUCAACGGUCAUGAACCUUUUAGGGAUGAAAAAUGAUGUGGUUAAGGUGGCUGAUUUCGGUGUUGCAAGAGUGAAGGCUCAGACUGGUGUAAUGACAGCAGAAACCGGGACAUAUCGGUGGAUUUCUCCUGAGGUGGUUCAUUUGUGUCAAGCUUUCUAAUGUUGUUUAGUUUUAUAUAUUUUAGAUUAUGGUUGGAACUUGGAUGGGUUAAGUAACGGGUCAUAUGGGUUCGGGUUGAGAUACGUCAACUUUAGUACGCAUUGAAACGGGACGGGUCAUGUUUUGUUGAAUCCACAUUCACUUUUGGUCUAUUAAUUAUUAUUAUUUUUGAUACAUAUAUAAUUAUUUAUAUUCAGAUGUAUACUUAUAUUUAUAAUUUUAUAAUAAUAAAAUGAGUAUUAUUUUUGUCAUAUUUUUAUGAAGAAUAAUAUCUAUUAUGUAAUUAUACACCAUUAUAUAAAAUAUAAAUUUAUUACAUUUACAUAAUAACAGGCUCUCAAUCUCGAUAUGCAAUGCUCUUUAUUAAAUGAAGCUCUAAAUCAGGCUCAAGUUUGUACUACAUGUUUGUUCAAUGUAACAACUUCUUUAAUAUACUUAUAUAGAUGACACAUUAGCUAUUUAAUCUCUUUUAUAAAUCAAAAGGAUUGUCGAUAUUUCAUGUUACCCAACAUAUAACAUAUAACUGAUGCGUACAAUAUGUACAAGUCUUAUUCUACUUAUGGUCAUUUGAAGAAGUGUAAAACUGGUUUGGUGGGAAAUGCUUAUUAUAUUGUUGGAUGUGUUUAUUAUAAUGUUAAUGUUCACUGCAUGCUUUGUGCAGAUACCAAGACAGGUACGUGCACCCUCUUACAUUUCCCAUUUUUUAAACUUGAUUCUCCACUAAUGCCGUUGAAACUUCAUGUUUAUAUAUGUGUGGCAGUGAUGGACAUAGAUUUAUGUAAUAAUAUUUUGUGGAUUGUAUAUGAACAGGGAAGUAUUAGUAUAUUGAUGCUAUGCUAGAAGGAGACCGUGUGAUAGUGGACAUAGAUUCACAUCAGAGUUUGAAAUUGCAAGAUCCACCAAAAGCUACAGAACGGUUCUUUAAAUGCUUCCUCAUAUAACUGUGAUAUGACCCGAUCGUCGGCAGAAUAUCCUCAACAUAGUUUCUGAUGCUGCAAAACAGAGCUUAAAGAAGAAAGGAAUGCCUCUGUCCCCUUAGUGAAGAGCCGAUUAUGUUAAAGACUUAAAGCUAAAUGGCUCUCUCCUUGCAAUCGAAUGCUCAACAAUCCGACUAAUGAUAAGAAUAACCAAUCUUUUACUGAAAUUGCAAGCAAAUCUAACCAGAUUCCAGACGCGAAAGACCUGAUUUUGAUGGAUGAGUUUGAAGAUAUUGGAGGAGGUAUAGAGGAAGCUAUGAAACAUUGGGAGCUAUUAGAGAUUAAACCAAAGGUACCAAAGAUUAGAAGUAAAGUGGUUAGUUGUGUAGCUUCUGUGAUCGAAGGCAAAUGAUAAUGGUGGUAGGGUUAAGUUGAUCUAAGUUCAAGUCCAAAUCCAUUUUACAAUUUGUGGUUCUUGAUUUUCUUGCCUAAAAUUUUGAAAAUGGAACCCAAAUCACUAAAAUGAUUUGGAUAAAAUGGGAUUUAGAUUAACUAGACCCCUAACAUUUUGGUAUUUUGAUUAUUUUCCUUUUUUUAGUCAUCUUACCACCAGGAAAAAAAUACAAUGAUCUUGGUGUGAGAGUUUUUUUUUUAGCCAGUCUCGUGGUCUACCAGGGGGAGUAAGGUUUUGGAACUUUGGCUAUUUUCCAUUUUUGUUGUUUUUUUUUUAAUUUUUUUGAGUCAUCUUAGCACCAAGAAAAAAAUACAAUAAGCUUGGUGUGUGAGUUUUUUUUAGCCAGUCUCGUGGUCUACCAGGGGGAGUUUGUGUGAGUUUUUACAUGUGUUGUUUGGGAGGCUGGUUAAGGGUUUCAUGUCAAUGAAUGAGUGGUAGGCUACAAUCUUCUUUUCGGGUUUUCUUACAUGGCGUGAGUUUUUGUUCUUAGUAGGUUGUGUAUUUUUUUCUACAGUUUCUAUAAUAAUUAUGGGGCGUGGGGAUAGUGGGUAAAUCUGUCUUGGUGCUUCGGUGCAUGGCACAAAGUCUCAGGCCUGUUUGUCUGUGUGGAUGAAAAGCGCUUUGUGCAUGGCGCAAAGUCUUAGCCUAUUUGGUAUGCUAGAGUUUUUGGCUGGUUUUUGAAGAUGAUUCAGAAGACUACAAGUGAAAAAUUAACUUGUGGAUGACAAGAUGGUAGACCUCAUGGAUGCUCAUAAGUUUGACUGUUUUUUUUAGAUUAUAUGGAUCUUAGUUGAUUCAAAUUUGACGCUGAGAAGUAAAAAAGGGAAAAGAAGGGGGGGGGGGGGGGGGUCUCUAUGUAAUUGUUUUUCUCCAAUUUUUUGUUUUAGUUUUUGCCCCGUGAGUAAAUUGGAUGGCUUGGUAACAUACUGUUUUUUAUGAACCCAAUGUAAGUUACCCUUUAUAACUGAACAUUCCUUAGAUGUGGUUAUAUGUUAAAUGGUGGUCCUCAUGCUGAUGGAGAUUUUAACAAUACUAUAGUCAGUAUAUAUUUUUUAAAUGUUUA